GCCCUCUAUCCCCCUGCCCCCUCCUCCCCUCCUGCCCUGGGAGCUGAGACACCGAUUCACUCCAGCAUCCGCAGGCCCCGCCCCAGCUGGAGGCCGAGGCUUUGGGAAGAAGGGUCUUCCAGGAAGCACUACCCCGCCUACAAGUGGUACCUCAUGAGGGCGUCUGUUCAAAAUAACGGAUCUCUCCAUCUACUCGGACCCGGGUGCAGAUGAGGAUCCUUGAGUGUGAUUCCUCAAGUACCGUGCUUCCCUCUUUGAAGACUUGGCCGCUGUGGAAGAGGUUGUGGGGGGACAUCGCAGAUAAUCAUUCUGGCCUCAUUGGAAUUUCAUCCUCUUUUUUAUCACACUGGCCAUGCAUGCUGGUACGGCAGGUAUUUCCUGGAAAACUUAGCAGAAUCAUGGGCCAGGAUUUGAACCAUGUCUUCAUUUGUCAAAGGAUUUUGGAGAACAUGAGCAAAAUGAAAUCCACAGUAGAAACCAGAAUCCUUGCCACGACCCACCUAAGCAAACAGGUAAAUACAGAAUUUAAGUUCUAA
This 536-nucleotide long non-coding RNA is filed under the name Chinchilla lanigera (long-tailed chinchilla). RNAcentral's name for it is "lncRNA (ENSCLAG00000025302.1)". The record is from RNAcentral. Lineage: Eukaryota; Metazoa; Chordata; Mammalia; Rodentia; Chinchillidae.